RNAcentral lists this unclassified non-coding RNA (411 nucleotides) under soil metagenome. RNAcentral's name for it is "partial contains 5.8S ribosomal RNA, internal transcribed spacer 2, and large subunit ribosomal RNA". The stretch from base 1 to 118 matches the Rfam family "5.8S ribosomal RNA", at positions 35 to 154 of the family's 154-position model. The record is from RNAcentral.
GAUGAAGAACGUAGCGAAAUGCGAUAAGUAAUGUGAAUUGCAGAAUUCAGAAUCAUCGAAUCUUUGAACGCACCUUGCGCUCUUUGGUAUUCCGAAGAGCAUGCCUGUUUGAGUGUCAUGAAAAUAUCAACCUUGACUUGGGUUUUGUGCUCUAGUCUCGGCUUGGAAUUGGGUGCUUGCCGCUUUUACGAGCGGCUCACCUUAAAUGUAUUAGCUGGAUCUGUCUUUGAGACUUGGUUUGACUUGGCGUAAUAAGUAUUUCGCUAAGGACAUUCUUCGGAGUGGCCUCGUUUCUAGGACGCUUGUCCGCUUUCCAAUACAAGUUCCACCUCGUGGACAUGACUUUUUAUUAUCUGGCCUCAAAUCAGGUAGGACUACCCGCUGAACUUAAGCAUAUCAAUAAGCGGAGGA